This 327-nucleotide ribosomal RNA is filed under the name uncultured eukaryote. RNAcentral describes it as "partial 18S ribosomal RNA". It matches the Rfam family "Eukaryotic small subunit ribosomal RNA", at positions 1470 to 1796 of the family's 1831-position model. The record is from RNAcentral.
CCCUUAGAUGUUCCGGGCCGCACGCGCGCUACACUGAUUCAUGCAACAAGUUUUGUCCUUGGCUGAUAGGCCUGGGUAAUCUUUGAACGUGAAUCGUGAUGGGGAUAGAUGAUUGCAAUUAUUCAUCUUCAACGAGGAAUUCCUAGUAAACGCAAGUCAUCAGCUUGCAUUGAUUACGUCCCUGCCCUUUGUACACACCGCCCGUCGCACCUACCGAUUGAAUGGUCCGGUGAAAUCUUCGGAUCUGAGAGAUGUCUGAUUAAUUUCGGACGCCUUUUGGAAAAGUUGCUUAAACCUUACCAUUUAGAGGAAGGUGAAGUCGUAACA